RNAcentral lists this transfer RNA (74 nucleotides) under Candidatus Altimarinota bacterium. RNAcentral describes it as "tRNA-Cys". It matches the Rfam family "tRNA". From Rfam's summary of the family: Transfer RNA (tRNA) molecules are approximately 80 nucleotides in length. Their secondary structure includes four short double-helical elements and three loops (D, anti-codon, and T loops). The record is from RNAcentral. RNAcentral also lists the same sequence under 1 other name. Lineage: Bacteria; Candidatus Altimarinota.
GGCGUCUUGACCGAGCGGUUAGGUAGAGGUCUGCAAAACCUUCUAGACGGGUUCGACUCCCGUAGAUGCCUCCA